RNAcentral lists this ribosomal RNA (271 nucleotides) under uncultured bacterium. Its description in RNAcentral is "partial 16S ribosomal RNA". It matches the Rfam family "Bacterial small subunit ribosomal RNA", at positions 524 to 794 of the family's 1533-position model. The record is from RNAcentral.
UACAGAGGGUGCGAGCGUUAAUCGGAUUUACUGGGCGUAAAGGGCGCGUAGGCGGUUUAAUGAGUGUGAUGUGAAAGCCCUGGGCUCAACCUAGGAAGUGCAUCGCAAACGAUUGAACUGGAGUAUAUGAGAGGGUGGUGGAAUUUCCGGUGUAGCAGUGAAAUGCGUAGAGAUCGGAAAGAACGUCGAUGGCGAAGGCAGCCACCUGGCAUAAUACUGACGCUGAGGCGCGAAAGCGUGGGGAUCAAACAGGAUUAGAUACCCUUGUAGU